GAAUACUAGUCCAAGAGCAAUAUGAGUUGUAGUCUUAAGAAAGAAAAAAGGAGGGAGUCUGUUUUUGUAAAUUUUAGCUGAUUUCCAAAAUUCUGUUGCAGUAAUGGACUUCCUGCCAAAAUUUGACUUUCCUGUCCAGUUGCCAGGUGCUCUGAUCUAACCUUAAAAUAGUACUGCUUGCAUAGUUUGCAGACAUGCAUAAUGCACAAACAUGAGAAC
Molecule: long non-coding RNA, 219 nt
Filed under: Pelobates cultripes (western spadefoot toad)
Lineage: Eukaryota; Metazoa; Chordata; Amphibia; Anura; Pelobatidae
Source: RNAcentral